GUAAAUCUUGGUGAAACUGUUCGAGCAAGACUCCAGCAAUUUUCAAUGAUGAAUAAAUUUAAAAAGAAAGCUCUUAGGGUGAUAGCUGAACACUUGUCUGUGGAGGAGAUUGCCGACAUAAAGGAAAUGUUUGAGAAUA
This is a long non-coding RNA of Zingiber officinale, 139 nucleotides long. RefSeq lists it as uncharacterized. The transcript is spliced from 2 exons. The record is from RefSeq and is a predicted model, not a curated record. NCBI's taxonomy places the organism in Eukaryota, Viridiplantae, Streptophyta, Magnoliopsida, Zingiberales, Zingiberaceae.